GAUGAACGCUGGCGGCGUGCCUAAUACAUGCAAGUCGAGCGAACAGACGAGGAGCUUGCUCCUCUGACGUUAGCGGCGGACGGGUGAGUAACACGUGGAUAACCUACCUAUAAGACUGGGAUAACUUCGGGAAACCGGAGCUAAUACCGGAUAAUAUAUUGAACCGCAUGGUUCAAUAGUGAAAGACGGUUUUGCUGUCACUUAUAGAUGGAUCCGCGCCGCAUUAGCUAGUUGGUAAGGUAACGGCUUACCAAGGCAACGAUGCGUAGCCGACCUGAGAGGGUGAUCGGCCACACUGGAACUGAGACACGGUCCAGACUCCUACGGGAGGCAGCAGUAGGGAAUCUUCCGCAAUGGGCGCAAGCCUGACGGAGCAACGCCGCGUGAGUGAUGAAGGUCUUCGGAUCGUAAAGCUCUGUUAUUAGGGAAGAACAAAUGUGUAAGUAACUCUGCACGUCUUGACGGUACCUAAUCAGAAAGCCACGGCUAACUACGUG
Molecule: ribosomal RNA, 497 nt
Filed under: uncultured bacterium
Lineage: Bacteria
Description: partial 16S ribosomal RNA
Rfam family: Bacterial small subunit ribosomal RNA
Source: RNAcentral